UUCCCACUUGAGUUCUGGCUGUAGACUGUCUUGGCACUCCUGGGCUGCCCACCACAGCUCUGGGGUGAUCUCAGGGUUUAUGUUCCCUCCUUAACUUGGAGGCAACAGAUGAAGGGACCUUAUUUGUAGUGGUUGUGGCCAAGGGUUUUUUGCUUGUCUCCUGGAGGCUCCACCCCAGAGAGAUGCAGAUCAGCAACCACUCAGUGCAAUCAGCCUGAAUGAUGGGGGUGGGUCUGUGCUGUGGGCCCGAGCUGGAUCCACAUCCCUGCCUAGUGAUGAGCAGCCUUAGGUCUUGCUAGGUCGGUAACACUGCAACUGCAGUGGCAGAGGAAUUGCAGGUUAACUCUGGGAUUUCCUCCUCAAAAAAAUGUUGAGAUGCCUCUGAUUGACCAGGCAGGGGCAGGGUGGUUGUGCUGGAGUCCCAGGUCAGGUGACCCUGCCCAUUGAGGAGAAGUGAGGACCAGGACUUGCAUGGAGAACAAUAUGGCCACUUUUCCAUGAGGUGGGUGCUCUGUGCUGGGGGUCUAGGCUGGUCCCUGACCCCCAAGGGGUCUCCAGAUCCUAGCGACAGCAAGGGCGAGGGCUGUAAGACAGCAAUCUACCCCUCCCACUUGGAGCUCUGUCCCAGAAAGCUGCCAAGCUGCUACUGGCUUGACAGCCCCAGUGGGGGGUGGCUGUAGAGGUUUUAUAAAGGAGAGUGGCUUGUAGGGUUUCAUAAAGGGCAGUUCCCUUUACAAUUUGAUAGAACCUUCCAAACAUGAACAUUUGGACUUAAAACCCUUCCCAUCUCCAUCAACCCAGUGAGCAAUAAUGCUCAACUUUUCAGAAGACAAUCUUUCCUAGGAAUUUUAAAACAAAAUGCAAAUGUAAAUUACAAAAUGUAAAUUAUAAAAUGUAAAUGUAAACUAAAUAUGUUAGUUUACUAACUCUAUGUUUUUCAUACCCUGGCAACCUCUUCAACUCUCAAGAAAGACUACAUGUUGUAAAUUAGGAGUCAUUUGUCUUUUACAUACACAGAUAAAUAAAACAAAAUGCACAGACAUAAGAGACAAUGAUUAAUCUUGCCUCACUAUAAGCACCCUGGCAGAGAGCUGAUACACUUCCUCUUUCUCCCUCCCCACCAAAGUAGUACACAAACACAAUGUGUAUUACGCAAGAUGUGGUUUGACCAUUCCUCUUAAAAAUAACAUUUCACAUAAAUUUUAACACCAGAGACGUUUACCAAAAUGUGUUAUUUUACUACCUCUAAUUUUAACAAAUGUCAGGCACUUCAGAACAUCUAGAAAGACUAGAUAUUAAUAUUUCAAAAAAGUUCUUAGCAUUGUCAGCUAUGUAUACAGCAGUGUUGAAUAAAACACACACACACAUAACAAUUUUUAGAAUACGAAAAUGUCUUCUAAAUAUAACCAGUCAGGCAUAGAACAUUCUUCUCUUCCUUCUCAGGUCUUCCGCUCCAUGUCCUCUAAGCCCCUGAAUAAAUGUGGACUUGUCACUCUUGGUGUCACUUCCAGAGGUGGUCUGACAACUCCAUUUCAAAAAGUCAUCUACAAAAGACAUUUAUUUUCUAUGAUUUCUUUUUAAACAAAUGGGAAUAUGCAAGAUGUGUGAUUUCUAACUCUGUCAUACCUUGGGAACCUCUUUACAUCUAGAAGGGCUAGAUUUAGCAAAUGUUUUCUUAUAAAAGGUUGGGAGGAAAGUUGAGAACAGCUUUUUCAUCUAAAUACAUAGGACUUCUAUAAAUGGCCAGUAAAUCUUCCCAAAGUGUGAUGGGCCUUUCAGUGGGUCAAAUGUGGCAUGUUAUUCUACCAUGUUAUUCUACCAUUCUUCCAACAUUAACAUCUGGUAGGUAGAACCAAGACCAACUCUCACCAAUGGGUGCCAACCGUUCCACCCAUCAUACUUGGAGGACUCCACUCACCUUCCUGCAGUUAAGGCCUUUGUCCAGUGUCAUCAGGACUAGGUCUCACUCUGUAACCCAGGCUGGAGUGCAGUGGAAUGAACACAGCUUCUUGCAGCUUCGACCUCUUGGGCCCAAGCAAUCCUCCUGCCUCAGCCUCCUAAGCAACUGGGAUCACAGGUGCACACCACCAUGUCUGGAUAAUUAUUUAAAAAAAAAAAAA
Piliocolobus tephrosceles (Ugandan red Colobus) is the source of this 2120-nucleotide long non-coding RNA. RefSeq lists it as uncharacterized. The record is from RefSeq and is a predicted model, not a curated record. NCBI's taxonomy places the organism in Eukaryota, Metazoa, Chordata, Mammalia, Primates, Cercopithecidae. The transcript has 3 exons.